This 236-nucleotide ribosomal RNA is filed under the name uncultured Symbiodinium. RNAcentral's name for it is "partial Bacterial small subunit ribosomal RNA". It matches the Rfam family "Bacterial small subunit ribosomal RNA", at positions 11 to 261 of the family's 1533-position model. The record is from RNAcentral. Lineage: Eukaryota; Dinophyceae; Suessiales; Symbiodiniaceae.
GUUUGAUCCUGGCUCAGAUUGAACGCUGGCGGUAUGCCUAACACAUGCAAGUCGAACGAGGUAGCAAUACCUAGUGGCGGACGGGUGAGGAAUACGUAGGGAUCUGCCUUUAAGUGGGGGAUAACCCGGGGAAACCCGGAUUAAUACCGCAUGAUCUCGCAAGAGCAAAGUGGGGGAUCGCAAGACCUCACGCUUUUAGAGGAACCUACGUCGGAUUAGCUUGUUGGUGAGGUAAU